This 315-nucleotide ribosomal RNA is filed under the name Lamproderma ovoideum. Its description in RNAcentral is "bacterial SSU rRNA". It matches the Rfam family "Eukaryotic small subunit ribosomal RNA", at positions 80 to 343 of the family's 1831-position model. The record is from RNAcentral. Lineage: Eukaryota; Evosea; Eumycetozoa; Stemonitida; Stemonitidae.
UCUGAAUCUGCGUACGGCUCCGCAAACCAGUUGUAAACUAUAGCAAGCAGGCUUGGGGUCGGCUCUCACGGGUUGGCUUCGGGCGAUAUGGAUAACCCUGGUAAUUCUGAGGCUAAUACAUGAACGUAAAACCUGGUUGACUGGGCUUCGGUCUGGGAGGCUGGGGGAUGUGUGAUUGCAGGCUUGGGUAACACCGGGAAAGGGCGCACGUCCAGACCGCGCUAUAAAGGAUGGGACCUCUUCGGGGGACCCGCCCCAGCGGCUCUUGCUGUGUGCUUCUGACCUAUCAACUAGACUGGCAGCGUAAGGGACAUG